AAUUAUUAAGAGUAGAGUUGCAUGAUUGGUGCUAUAAAAAUCUGAGAGCAAGGUGAGUCCACAGCUGACAGCACUGUUACUCUUGAAAUCUUCAUCAAUGGAAGAAGCAUUAUUAUUGGUGAAGAAAGAAGAAGUGUAUUAUGAGAAUUGCCCUGGUUGCAAGGUUGACAAAGCCAAACACCUCACAAAUGGAAUCUCAAUUCGGAAUCUUCUUUAUAUAUGGCUUGCAGUCUUAUGUGGAACGCUGCCUGUGUGUUCUCUCUUUCCAUUUGUUUAUUUCAUGGU
Long non-coding RNA from Arachis duranensis, 285 nucleotides. RefSeq lists it as uncharacterized. NCBI's taxonomy places the organism in Eukaryota, Viridiplantae, Streptophyta, Magnoliopsida, Fabales, Fabaceae. The transcript has 2 exons. The record is from RefSeq and is a predicted model, not a curated record.